AGUGGAUAUGGGCGUGGCUCUAUUUAUUUGAGCUCGUGCUGUGCGUUGAACGCGGAAGAGGAACACGAAGCCUGGAAAUCCUAAAUCACUGACACUCCGCGUUUUGAACACUUCGUAGUCAAUAUACACAAAGAUGUGGCCAAAUCAAGGCCCUCCUCCUCCAAUGGGUCCACAAAAUCCUGCUUACCCUCCUGGGUACAACCCUGCCAAUCCUGUUGUCCCACCAGCUGGAUUCUACACCCAGCCUCCAAAUCCAGCAUGCCCACCUUACCCAUAUGGAGCAGGCGUGAACCCAGCAAUGGGACCAUGUGCACCUCCCGGGGCAAUGCCUUACAAAACUCCUGGAUCAUCUCAACUUUACCCUGUAGCUCCAGGUGCAUAUCCAAUGGUCCCUGGUGCUGGGGUUUACCCAGGUCAAUAUCCAAAGUCUCCGAAAGGGGAUCACCAUAAAAAACAUAAAGAUCACAAAAAACACAAAGGUCAUCAUAAAGGAGGAGCUUAUCCAAUGGCUGGAGGAAUGGCAGGGAUGGCUGGAAUGGCAGCGAUGGGAAUGGCGAUGUCGGGUGGCAAAGUCCACAAAAAGAUGAAGGUCAAGAAGAUGAAAAAGGCUCACAAGCAUCUCAAAGGGCACAAACAUGGCAAAUCAUCCAGCAGCAGCAGCAGUAGCAGCAGCAGCAGCAGCAGUGACUGAGACAUCUACCUUAAACUCCUGGGAUUGCCUAAACUACGGGGUCUUCAGAUCCACGUCUUCCUCUAUAGGGGUGUGGCAGAAACAAAACACUGUGACUGCUGUGAACACACAUCAAUACAGUGUUUGAAAACCUAUUACAUUAACUGGCUGUCAAAAGUGUCAAUGAUUUAAAAAUAAUUAGUAGAUUUUGAGAAUGCAUGUAUUCAUGAAUAGGAUGCUAUGUAAUAUAAUAUUUAACAGAAAUAUCUCUGUUUCAGCACUACUCUGGAAAUGAUUUAUUGUUUUAUUAUAUCUUUCUGUCUUUUUUGUAAAUAACAAAUAAAUGCCUUCA
Molecule: long non-coding RNA, 1022 nt
Filed under: Gouania willdenowi (blunt-snouted clingfish)
Lineage: Eukaryota; Metazoa; Chordata; Actinopteri; Blenniiformes; Gobiesocidae
Description: lncRNA (ENSGWIG00000025848.1)
Source: RNAcentral